CUGGGGAGGGAGGAGGGGGAGGGUAAGGGGAGAAGAAGAAGAGGUAGGCAGGGAGGAGGGAGAGGAGAGAAGUUAGAUUAGUGAAGGCAAGUACGUAAGGAUAGGAAAGGAAGGGGAUAGAGAUUGAAUGAGAGGAGAUCAAAGGGAAAAAAUCGAGGGAUAUUUGUAAAGUUUAAAGAAAGGAGGGUAAGAGGAGAAGAAGAAGAGGUAGGUAGGGAGGAGGGACAGCAGAGAAGUUAGAUUAGUGAAGGCAGGUAAGGAAAGGAAAGGAAGGGGAUAGAGAUUGAAUGAGAGGAGAUCAAAGGGAAAAAAUAAGGAGGGACAUUUGUAAAGUUUAACCCGGUAGCAGCGAGGGGCCAAAUUUGUGGUUUUACCGUGUAGCAGCGACGGGCCAAAUUUGUGCCAUGAUAUAAACCCCCAAAAAUAGAUGAUGCAUAAACUGAUCACAAAUGCUUUGAUAUAUAUUAUGAAAUGGUUUGUGUGAGUGAUGAUUUUUUCUCAUUUUUCUCAUUUAGAGGGACCAUUAACAAACAUGAUCCCUGCUGCUACCGGGUUAAAGAG
Molecule: long non-coding RNA, 561 nt
Organism: Eriocheir sinensis (Chinese mitten crab)
Lineage: Eukaryota; Metazoa; Arthropoda; Malacostraca; Decapoda; Varunidae
Exons: 2
Source: RefSeq, a predicted model, not a curated record